Molecule: ribosomal RNA, 255 nt
Filed under: uncultured bacterium
Lineage: Bacteria
Description: partial 16S ribosomal RNA
Rfam family: Bacterial small subunit ribosomal RNA
Source: RNAcentral
UACGGGGGGAGCAAGCGUUGUUCGGAUUUACUGGGCGUAAAGGGCGCGUAGGCGGCCACCGCAAGUCGACUGUGAAAUCUCCGGGCUUAACCCGGAAAGGUCAGCCGAUACUGCGGGGCUAGAGUGCAGAAGGGGCAACUGGAAUUCUCGGUGUAGCGGUGAAAUGCGUAGAUAUCUGGAGGAACACCGGUGGCGAAGGCGGCGUUCGUGGACUGCAACUGACACUGAGGAACGAAAGCCAGGGGAGCAAACGGG